This is a non-coding RNA of Odocoileus virginianus texanus, 2808 nucleotides long. The record is from RefSeq and is a predicted model, not a curated record. NCBI's taxonomy places the organism in Eukaryota, Metazoa, Chordata, Mammalia, Artiodactyla, Cervidae.
UCCGCUCCAGGUGGCACGGAACCUGGGUUGGCCAUCUCUACUCUGGGCAGCCUCCGACCCGGAAGGGGCGCGGGGAAAGAGGCUGUGCGCCUCUUGGUUAACGAGCUUCGGGGGUUGCGGCGGGUUAGUGACAGGCGCGCGCCUAGCGAUCGCCUGUGCCGUUUUGCUCGGGAGCGGUCGAACUAGCGCCCGUGUUGGUUGAAUCUGCAAAUGUGGAGCCCUCAGACACCAAGGGCCAACUAUGUUCUGGAAAAGCUGAAGAAAAGCCAAGGAACACCAGCCCUCUCUCUACCAGAUUUCUCUCCCUACCAUCCCCACAGAGGGAGUCCGGACACAGGAAGACGUGAUUUUCAAAGCCAAUUAUGAAAACAUUUGUCAUUGGAAUCAGCGGUGUGACAAAUGGUGGGAAGACAACACUGGCUAAGAAUUUGCAGAAACACCUUCCAAACUGCAGUGUCCUAUCUCAGGAUGAUUUUUUUAAGCCAGAGUCUGAGAUAGAGACAGAUGAAAAUGGAUUUCUGCAGUAUGAUGGUAAGUAGAUGAGCUUACAGAACACCCUGUGCUAAUGUUCAUUCCUUUUUCAAACCCAAAUAACUUUGCUAUCUCUGAAGAGAGUCUCAGAAUAAGUUUAAAUAUGUUGCUUUACUUUAAGCAUGCUUUUGUAAGGGUUUCUGAUAUAUGUUCAGCUGUUUAAAUAAAUGAAACCCUUUCCCUGGUUUUAUGGUUAAAACUGAAAACAUUGGAACAAUAGAUUUUUCUUUUGAAGGUGGGGCAAGGUAGGUCUCUAUUGUUCUGAUCCCUCCAUAGGACACAAACAGCUACCUAGACAAUCAUCUUUGUCCCAUCUUGCCUGGGUCAAACUCAGGACUGUGUCUCCUGACCUUACUUUCCCAGUGACCUAAGUACUGGGUCUUGUCACUGCUCAAAAAAGAUUAGUAAAUAUUUUUUAGAUGGAUUCACUUCAACCCCUUACCCACUCUAACACUGCUUUGAAGCCAAUAGGGUAAAGUCCAUCAGAAAAGCAUCUACUUAUACCUUUAAAGGAAUAUCAUGCUAGUAAACCAUAUAUAAUGGUCUUGUCAACUUUUAAUAAGAUCAUUGAGUACUUAUGCAAACUAGCUCUCUUAAAGAGCCAUGAGAUACAUUCCUUAUUUUUAACUUUGAGAACCUGGGAGGGAAAAUGUUGUGUAGUCAGUUCUUAGAGAAACAUGAUAGCUUUAAGAGAGGCAAAAUCUUUGACUGACUAUCUGCUCCUGUGUCUUGAAACAGUAUAUAUUUUUUUCUCUUCCCCUCUUCUAUUGGUUAGUGAGCAAGAUUAUUACAAAGUAAGAGUUAAGCAAGGAAAAAAUAUCUUCAAUAAUUGACAAAGAUUUAUUCCUAAUUUAAAUGAGUUCUUACAAACUGAAAAGAAAAACACUAAUAUCUCAAAUGAAAAAUGUCCAAUGAUGUGAAUAAGUUAUUCACAGAAGCAUAAGGUUACUUGAUUAAUGAAUGUACAAUAAAAAGUCAACCUCAGAAGUAGUUAAAGAAUUAAACUUAUUUUUUCCCACUUACCUAAUGAAUAGAUUUUUGAAGCAAUAAUAAUUAAUAAUAGCAUGGGCCCAUUAAUGUAACUUAUAUGUGGAUAUUAAUUGGUACAAUGUUUUUUGAAAAGGAGGUUGAGCAUAUGUCCCAAAGACCUUAAAAUAUUCAUGCCGUGUGUUCAAGUGUCCCACCUCCAGGAAUCUAUCUUAAGCAGAAUUCUGAGCUCUUUAGGUAAAUGUACAAGUUUAAAGUAAGUCAAGGUAAUGUUGAAAUCUUUAUAACUACCAAAAGAAUAGUUUUAAAGUAUAUAGCUAUCACUUUUAUAAAUAGAUGGAAUCAUUAAAAUAUAGCAAAAUAUAGCUGAUAAAUAUAAAAGAAGUAAAAAAUAGAGAACUAAAAUAUCAAACGAUGGUGGAAAAAUAGAAGAUGGCAUAAAAUGAUAGCUUUAAAUCAAAUAUAUCAGUAGCUGUAUUAAGUUAAAUCAACUAAACAUGUUAACAGGUUGUCAGACUUUGGAUGUUUUUAAGUCUUAAUACAUUUCAAUGUAUUGAAGUAACAUAGAGAUAUAUUCUAAUUACAGAGAACUGAAUUAGAAAUCAAUAACAAAAGACUAAGUAGAAAACUCCAAAGUGUUUGAAAAUCAGUGGGUUUUUUUUCUGAUUUUUAAAAACUUUUUGUUAUGGAGAAUUUUAAGCAGAUACAAAAGGAGGCCAAAAAAGUAUAAUGAACUCUCAUGAACUCACCAUUCUGCUUUUAAAAUGAACUCUUGGCCAAUUAUAUUUCAUCUAUACCCUUACCCACUUUCUCCUUCUGUAUUAUUUUGAAGCAGAUCCCAGACAUCAUCAUAUUUUAUCUGAAGCAAGACGCUUCAUUAUAUCCCAUGGGUCAAAGAACAAAUUACAAUGAAAAUUAGAAAAUAUUUUUAACCGAAUGUAAAGAAAAUAUGUUAAAAUUAAUGGUACUUCUUGUUCUACCCAAGAUGGCUUGGACCCAUUACUUGCUAUUUCUCCCUCUUAUAACUAAAAACCUUGGAUAGAAUACAACAAACAAAGACUCUGAAAGAUGAAGAGAGCAUAUUGACUAGGGACUUUGGAUCUUGAGGAAUGACAUUGCUGUGAGUUCCCUGGGCACUUUUUUUCUUUUUUGCCUGUCAUAUAUAUCUGGAAAAAGAUGGUAGAGAAGUGUGCUACAUGGAACCAUCAAUAGGUACAACUAAAAACCCCUAAGAAUUCUGUUCCUUUUCAGUUCAGUUCAGUUCGGUCACACAGUCAUGUGUGACUGUUU